Molecule: ribosomal RNA, 468 nt
Filed under: uncultured bacterium
Lineage: Bacteria
Description: partial 16S ribosomal RNA
Rfam family: Bacterial small subunit ribosomal RNA
Source: RNAcentral
GACGAACGCUGGCGGCGUGCUUAACACAUGCAAGUCGAACGGAAAGGCCCUGCUUUUGUGGGGUGCUCGAGUGGCGAACGGGUGAGUAACACGUGAGUAACCUGCCCUUGACUUUGUGAUAACUUCAGGAAACUGGGGCUAAUACCGGCUAGGAGCUCCUGCUGCAUGGGGGGGGUUGGACAGUUUCGGCGGUUGGGGAUGGACUCGCGGCUUAUCAGCUGGUUGGUGGGGUAGUGGCUUACCAAGGCUUUGACGGGUAGCCGGCCUGGGAGGGUGACCGGCCACCUUGGGACUGAGAUACGGCCCAGACUCCUACGGGAGGCAGCAGUGGGGAAUAUUGCACAAUGGGCGGAAGCCUGAUGCAGCAACGCCGCGUGCGGGAUGACGGCCUUCGGGUUGUAAACCGCUUUCGCCUGUGACGAAGCGUGAGUGACGGUAAUGGGUAAAGAAGCACCGGCUAACUACGUG